GAUGAAGAACGCAGCGAAAUGCGAUAAGUAAUGUGAAUUGCAGAAUUCAGUGAAUCAUCGAAUCUUUGAACGCACCUUGCGCUCCUUGGUAUUCCGAGGAGCAUGCCUGUUUGAGUGUCAUUAAAUUCUCAAUCUCUACAACUUUGUGUUGUCUAGAUUGGAAGUGGGGGUUUGUUGUGUGGAAUCUAAUUCCUCACUCCCCUUAAAUGCAUUAGCUGGAAUGCCUCUGCAUAUCUGACUAUCAGUGUGAUAAUUAUCUAUGCUGUAGUUGUUGCAUGAGGGUAUCUGCUUCAUAAAUCGUCGCAAGACAAUUCUAUAUGACCAUCUUGACCUCAAAUCAGGUAGGACUACCCGCUGAACUUAAGCAUAUCAAUAAGCGGAGGA
RNAcentral lists this unclassified non-coding RNA (384 nucleotides) under soil metagenome. Its description in RNAcentral is "partial contains 5.8S ribosomal RNA, internal transcribed spacer 2, and large subunit ribosomal RNA". The stretch from base 1 to 120 matches the Rfam family "5.8S ribosomal RNA", at positions 35 to 154 of the family's 154-position model. The record is from RNAcentral.